CCUACGGGAGGCAGCAGUGGGGAAUAUUGCGCAAUGGGCGAAAGCCUGACGCAGCGACGCCGCGUGAGGGAUGAAGGUCUUCGGAUCGUAAACCUCUGUCAGCAGGGAAGAACGGUCACUGUGCUAAUCAGCAGUGAAUUGACGGUACCUGACUAAGAAGCCCCGGCUAACUACGUGCCAGCAGCCGCGGUAAUACGUAGGGGGCAAGCGUUAUCCGGAUUUACUGGGUGUAAAGGGAGCGUAGACGGUGUGGCAAGUCUGCAGUGAAAGCCCGGGGCUCAACCCCGGGACUGCUUUGGAAACUGUCAUGCUGGAGUGCUGGAGAGGUAAGCGGAAUGCCUAGGGUAGCGGUGAAAUGCGUAGAUAUUAGGAGGAACACCAGUGGCGAAAGCGGCUUACUGGACAGUAACUGACGUUGAGGCUCGAAAGCGUGGGGAGCAAACAGGAUUAGAUACCCCUGUAGUC
This 465-nucleotide ribosomal RNA is filed under the name uncultured bacterium. Its description in RNAcentral is "partial 16S ribosomal RNA". It matches the Rfam family "Bacterial small subunit ribosomal RNA", at positions 338 to 795 of the family's 1533-position model. The record is from RNAcentral.